Molecule: long non-coding RNA, 483 nt
Organism: Populus trichocarpa (black cottonwood)
Lineage: Eukaryota; Viridiplantae; Streptophyta; Magnoliopsida; Malpighiales; Salicaceae
Exons: 2
Source: RefSeq, a predicted model, not a curated record
UGCUUUUCAAAUGCACUUGACCAAUCAUGUGAUGCCACAAAUUUAUAUUUGACCAAUCUGUUUAGGUUGACUCGGCUAGCUAGAGAAGAUAAGAACGUGGAAAUGAUGUUGAUUUUCCAAUCGGGACAUGCACCAAAAACUGUGGUUGCCUUUAAUAAUUCCAGGCAGACAAGAGGGCAAAGGGUAUUUACAGAGACAAGCAACAAGUGGAAUCUUAGGCAUCAUCUGUAUCAUAUCUCACUUUAUCAGUUUUCAGGUUAAGUCUAUAAUGCACGAGGGGUUCACCAUUUUUCUGCAACUCUCUCGGGAAGUAAAGCUUGAUGUUAAAAUGCUUCGUUUUUCCAUGAAAUAUUGGAUUGUGAGAUAUUGCGAUUGCUACCUAGUUAUCAACUAAAAUUUUUGUGUUAUCCUUAUGCUUCAUAUGUAGAUCACAAAGAAUUGUUUUCAAUUAUAAAACUUGAUUUAUUGUUGAUGUUGCUAUAA